UUGUUCGUGAACUUGACUUUAGAACAACUUCUUUAAACGAUCGGUGAUUUUCUUCACUUCUUGAAGUUAGCGUUGUUCUUUGUUUGUACGUUUGCUCGAGGUUCUUUCGUUGCUCGCGGUGUGGUUACUAAAAACCAACCGUCCGUCUUCAAAUCGUUCUCAGUGUUCUGUGAUCAGUUCUUCAAGAAAGAAGAAAGUGUCGUCCGAAGACAAAAAGACUCUCAGCAACAUACCCUCGAUCGAAUCCAAGUGACAAAAAAUAUCCUAUUGCGGUGAAAACUGUGUAGAACGUACAAAAAGUCUCAUUCUUUGCGGUUGUCCUUUUUAGUUCAAUCGGGUGUUGACUUUAUCGCGGUUUAUUUGUUUGUUUGAAUAGGCGACGAAAUCAACGGAAAAAUAGACUCGUAGAAAUGGCAAAACUUGUUCUUGUGUUCUGUUGUGCCGUGCUGGCUUGUGUUGCAGCUCAACGUAUAACGACCAUUCAACUGGAUGGCGUCCAAUACUUCAUCAGCCGGAUGAACCCUUACUCGCCUGAAUUGAAUUAUUUCCUCGCAUACCAAUAUUGUAGAUCACUAGGAUUGCAGUUGGCAUCAUUCGAAACAAAAGAAAAAGUCGAGUCUAUGUCCACAUACCUGCAGAAUGCAGGCUAUAGUAAAUAUGACUUCUGGACAUCAGGAAAUCGACUUGGAACGGGAAUGUUUAUUUGGAUGAGCACCGGAUUACCUUUCAAUGCCACAUUUGAUUUCUUCGAAAAUGCCGAAGACUCCGCCAAGGCUGGUCUUUUGGAUCCUGUUGAUCACAACAGCAACACAACCCCACAAAGAACUGCUCGCGACAGUAGCAUCGCCCUUACCAAGAACUGUGUCAUGAUGCGUGGACCAAAUCUACGAUGGGUUCCAGAAGAUUGCUCCGUUGUGAAAGACUUCAUUUGCGAACAAACCAGAUGUUACUAUUACAAUUACGGAAGCAUUCCAGUCUCAUCGGCGCAGGGGUAAGGACAAUGUGUGUGGACAAUCAACAUCUACUAUGUAAAACUGCCCGCCAUAUCUAAGCAAAUAAAUACAAACAAACAAAUGAAAAUACAUCCAAAAAAGUGUUUUAGUUAAAUAAAUAGACGUCCAAUCACAUCAACAACAGCCCGUCAACCAAUCCCCUACACCACCACACCCCUUCCAGAUAUCCUUUCAAGUACUCUAGCUUCCGUGCUCGCCAGACGCAACAACGUUGAAGAUGCUCCUUUGGCAAAAUCCG
Molecule: unclassified non-coding RNA, 1251 nt
Filed under: Hermetia illucens (black soldier fly)
Lineage: Eukaryota; Metazoa; Arthropoda; Insecta; Diptera; Stratiomyidae
Description: histone H3.v1, transcript variant X4
Source: RNAcentral